Molecule: ribosomal RNA, 568 nt
Filed under: euascomycete RFLP-type b
Lineage: Eukaryota; Fungi; Ascomycota; Sordariomycetes; Magnaporthales; Magnaporthaceae
Also listed under: 1 other name
Description: LSU rRNA
Rfam family: Eukaryotic large subunit ribosomal RNA
Source: RNAcentral
AAAAGAAACCAACAGGGAUUACCUCAGUAACGGCGAGUGAAGCGGUAACAGCUCAAAUUUGAAAGCUGCCAACAGGCCGCGUUGUAAUUUGUAGAAGCUGCUUUGGGUGUCGGCCCGGUCUAAGUUCCUUGGAACAGGACGUCAUAGAGGGUGAGAAUCCCGUAUGUGAUCGGUGCCGUUGCCCGUGUAAAGCGCUUUCGACGAGUCGAGUUGUUUGGGAAUGCAGCUCAAAAUGGGUGGUAAAUUUCAUCUAAAGCUAAAUAUUGGCCAGAGACCGAUAGCGCACAAGUAGAGUGAUCGAAAGAUGAAAAGCACUUUGGAAAGAGAGUUAAACAGUACGUGAAAUUGUUGAAAGGGAAGCGCUUGCAACCAGACUUGCGGGCGGUCGAUCAUCCGAGGUUCUCCCCGGUGCACUCGAUCGUUCUCAGGCCAGCAUCGGUUUCCGGGGUGGGAUAAAGGCGGUGGGAAUGUGGCUCUUCGGAGUGUUAUAGCCCACCGUGCAAUGCCGCCACUGGGGACCGAGGACCGCGCUUCGGCUAGGAUGCUGGCGUAAUGGUUGUAAGCGACC